RNAcentral lists this ribosomal RNA (1348 nucleotides) under Curtobacterium sp. Its description in RNAcentral is "bacterial SSU rRNA". Lineage: Bacteria; Bacillati; Actinomycetota; Actinomycetes; Micrococcales; Microbacteriaceae. The record is from RNAcentral.
AGCUUGCUGGGUGGAUUAGUGGCGAACGGGUGAGUAACACGUGAGUAACCUGCCCCUGACUCUGGGAUAAGCGUUGGAAACGACGUCUAAUACUGGAUAUGAUCACUGGCCGCAUGGUCUGGUGGUGGAAAGAUUUUUUGGUUGGGGAUGGACUCGCGGCCUAUCAGCUUGUUGGUGAGGUAAUGGCUCACCAAGGCGACGACGGGUAGCCGGCCUGAGAGGGUGACCGGCCACACUGGGACUGAGACACGGCCCAGACUCCUACGGGAGGCAGCAGUGGGGAAUAUUGCACAAUGGGCGAAAGCCUGAUGCAGCAACGCCGCGUGAGGGAUGACGGCCUUCGGGUUGUAAACCUYYUUUAGUAGGGAAGAAGCGAAAGUGACGGUACCUGCAGAAAAAGCACCGGCUAACUACGUGCCAGCAGCCGCGGUAAUACGUAGGGUGCAAGCGUUGUCCGGAAUUAUUGGGCGUAAAGAGCUCGUAGGCGGUUUGUCGCGUCUGCUGUGAAAUCCCGAGGCUCAACCUCGGGCUUGCAGUGGGUACGGGCAGACUAGAGUGCGGUAGGGGAGAUUGGAAUUCCUGGUGUAGCGGUGGAAUGCGCAGAUAUCAGGAGGAACACCGAUGGCGAAGGCAGAUCUCUGGGCCGUAACUGACGCUGAGGAGCGAAAGCAUGGGGAGCGAACAGGAUUAGAUACCCUGGUAGUCCAUGCCGUAAACGUUGGGCGCUAGAUGUAGGGACCUUUCCACGGUUUCUGUGUCGUAGCUAACGCAUUAAGCGCCCCGCCUGGGGAGUACGGCCGCAAGGCUAAAACUCAAAGGAAUUGACGGGGGCCCGCACAAGCGGCGGAGCAUGCGGAUUAAUUCGAUGCAACGCGAAGAACCUUACCAAGGCUUGACAUACACCGGAAACGGCCAGAGAUGGUCGCCCCCUUGUGGUCGGUGUACAGGUGGUGCAUGGUUGUCGUCAGCUCGUGUCGUGAGAUGUUGGGUUAAGUCCCGCAACGAGCGCAACCCUCGUUCUAUGUUGCCAGCGGGUUAUGCCGGGGACUCAUAGGAGACUGCCGGGGUCAACUCGGAGGAAGGUGGGGAUGACGUCAAAUCAUCAUGCCCCUUAUGUCUUGGGCUUCACGCAUGCUACAAUGGCCGGUACAAAGGGCUGCGAUACCGUAAGGUGGAGCGAAUCCCAAAAAGCCGGUCUCAGUUCGGAUUGAGGUCUGCAACUCGACCUCAUGAAGUCGGAGUCGCUAGUAAUCGCAGAUCAGCAACGCUGCGGUGAAUACGUUCCCGGGCCUUGUACACACCGCCCGUCAAGUCAUGAAAGUCGGUAACACCCGAAGCCGGUGAGCAC